This 253-nucleotide ribosomal RNA is filed under the name uncultured bacterium. RNAcentral's name for it is "partial 16S ribosomal RNA". It matches the Rfam family "Bacterial small subunit ribosomal RNA", at positions 524 to 776 of the family's 1533-position model. The record is from RNAcentral.
UACGUAGGUGGCAAGCGUUGUCCGGAUUUACUGGGCGUAAAGAGCGCGCAGGCGGUCGUUCAAGUCGCGUGUGAAAGCCCCCGGCUCAACUGGGGAGGGUCACGCGAUACUGAUCGACUCGAAGGCAGGAGAGGGUAGUGGAAUUCCCGGUGUAGUGGUGAAAUGCGUAGAUAUCGAGAGGAACACCAGUGGCGAAGGCGAGUCUCUGGACAUUUCCUGACGCUGAGGCACGAAAGCCAGGGGAGCAAACGGG